RNAcentral lists this ribosomal RNA (495 nucleotides) under uncultured bacterium. Its description in RNAcentral is "partial 16S ribosomal RNA". It matches the Rfam family "Bacterial small subunit ribosomal RNA", at positions 28 to 507 of the family's 1533-position model. The record is from RNAcentral.
GACGAACGCUGGCGGCGUGCCUAAUACAUGCAAGUAGAACGCUGACGGAGGAGCUUGCUUCUCUGGAUGAGUUGCGAACGGGUGCGUAACGCGUAGGUAACCUGCCUGGUAGCGGGGGAUAACUGUUGGAAAGGAUAGCUAAUACCGUAUAACAGUAGAUGUUGCAUGACAUUUGGUUAAAAGGUGCACUUGCAUCACUACCAGAUGGACCUGCGUUGUUUUAGCUAGUUGGUGGGGUAACGGCUCACCAAGGCGACGAUACAUAGCCGGCCUGAGAGGGUGAUCGACCACCCUUGGACUGAGACCCGGCCCAGGCUCCUACGGGGAGGAGCAGGAGGGGAUCUUCGGAAAUGGACAGAAGUCUGACCGAGCAACGCCGCGGUAGUGAAGAAGGUUUUCGGGUCGUAAAGCUCUGUUUGAAGAGAAGAACGAGCAUGAGGUUGGAAAGUUCACGCUGUGACGGUACCUUACCAAAAAGGAACGGCUAACUACGUG